Molecule: ribosomal RNA, 982 nt
Filed under: uncultured bacterium
Lineage: Bacteria
Description: bacterial SSU rRNA
Rfam family: Bacterial small subunit ribosomal RNA
Source: RNAcentral
UGUGCCAGCCGCCGCGGUAAUACGUAGGUGGCAAGCGUUGUCCGGAAUUAUUGGGCGUAAAGCGCGCGCAGGUGGGAUCUUAAGUCUAUUUUUAAAGUUCGGAGCUUAACUCCGUGAUGGGAUAGAAACUGGGAUUCUUGAGUACCGGAGAGGAAAGCGGAAUUCCCCGUGUAGCGGUGAAAUGCGUAGAUAUGGGGAGGAACACCAGUGGCGAAGGCGGCUUUCUGGACGGUGUCUGACACUGAGGCGCGAAAGCUAGGGGAGCGAACGGGAUUAGAUACCCCGGUAGUCCUAGCCGUAAACGAUGGGUACUAGGUGUGGGGGGUGUCAACUCCUCCCGUGCCGGCGCUAACGCAAUAAGUACCCCGCCUGGGGAGUACGGCCGCAAGGUUGAAACUCAAAGGAAUUGACGGGGGCCCGCACAAGCGGUGGAGUAUGUGGUUUAAUUCGACGCAACGCGAAGAACCUUACCAGGGUUUGACAUCCACUGAAUACGUAAGAGAUUACGUCGGCCCCUUCGGGGGACAGUGAGACAGGUGGUGCAUGGCUGUCGUCAGCUCGUGUCGUGAGAUGUUGGGUUAAGUCCCGCAACGAGCGCAACCCUUAUCCUGUGUUACCAGCAUGAAAGAUGGGGACUCACAGGAGACUGCCGCCGACAAGGCGGAGGAAGGCGGGGAUGACGUCAAGUCAUCAUGCCCCUUAUGUCCUGGGCUACACACGUACUACAAUGGGUGCGAACAGAGGGCCGCAAACCCGCGAGGGGGAGCCAAUCCCACAAAAGCACUCUCAGUUCGGAUCGCAGGCUGCAACCCGCCUGCGUGAAGUCGGAAUCGCUAGUAAUCGCAGAUCAGCAGGCUGCGGUGAAUACGUUCCCGGGCCUUGUACACACCGCCCGUCACACCACGAAAGUCUGCAACACCCGAAGCCGGUGGGGUAACCGCAAGGAGCCAGCCGUCGAAGGUGGGGCCGAUGAUUGGGGUGA